Molecule: small RNA, 597 nt
Filed under: Pongo abelii (Sumatran orangutan)
Lineage: Eukaryota; Metazoa; Chordata; Mammalia; Primates; Hominidae
Description: retained intron
Source: RNAcentral
CUUUUAGUUUCCGGUAUCUCUGCAAUGGCGGCUCUGGACUCCCUGUCGCUGUUCACUAGCCUCGGCCUGAGCGAGCAGAAGGCCCGCGAGACGCUCAAGAACUCGGCUCUGAGCGCGCAGCUGCGCGAGGCCGCUACUCAGGCUCAGCAGACCCUGGGUUCCACCAUUGACAAAGCUACCGGGACCCUGUUAUAUGGCUUGGCCUCCCGACUCAGGGAUACCCGGCGUCUCUCCUUCCUUGUAAGCUACAUAGCCAGUAAGAAGAUCCACACUGAGCCCCAGCUAAGCGCUGCCCUUGAGUAUGUGCGGAGUCACCCCUUGGACCCCGUCGACACUGUGGACUUCGAGCGGGAAUGUGGCGUGGGUGUCAUUGUGACCCCAGAGCAGAUUGAGGAGGCUGUGAGUCUUUCCCCAGGCAUCGUCUGCCUCCCCAGUCCUGGCCAUGAAAAGGAGUGGCUCAGUUUCCCUCCCCAGGAAGACCCAGAGUGAGGGUGUGGGUUCCCAGAAUAUCUCUAAAGGUGGCUUUCCUGAACCACAUGGUUUGGCUUUCUGCAGGUGGAGGCUGCUAUUAACAGGCACCGGCCCCAGCUCCUGGUG